RNAcentral lists this ribosomal RNA (3114 nucleotides) under Triticum aestivum (bread wheat). RNAcentral describes it as "partial small subunit ribosomal RNA". The record is from RNAcentral. Lineage: Eukaryota; Viridiplantae; Streptophyta; Magnoliopsida; Poales; Poaceae.
AUGGGGGGACUCCGCCGCGGCGGAGGCACGGACGGACUCCACUCCCACCGCCGCCGCCACCCCAGUCCCAAUGCUCCGCCCCAUCUCGCCGCCGGAGUUGGAUCCUCGAGCAAACAAGGAGGUGGACCUGGGAUGCAUUCCAAUUCUUUGUUUGAUGGGAGCAGGCUUUGUACACCCAAAAGAGCUGGUCGCACCCCAAUGAAAAUGCUAAUAGAUGACGACGUCUAUAGAGAUGUCACUGCUAGGCACACAUCGCCUGGUGUUGUGGGAAGGCUCAUGGGCCUUGACAUAAUGCCUUCACUUGGAGUGCACAACCAAGAUACAUGUAACGGGGACCGUUCACAGGGCAGGUCACCAGGGAGUUGCAGUGAUAAAUCAGGGAAUUAUAGUGACAGACAUGCCUUCUCGGGAGACGUUCCACGUAGGGCAAGCACUGAUGAGAUUCCGGAAUUCAAAGAUGUUUUCGAAGUAAUGGAGACCACCAGAAUGAAGAACCGAAACCGUAACACUUGUUCUGGACAUGACAGGGUUAACAGUGCUGACCUCAAUUUUGUAAGGCAGAAAUUUAUGGAUGCAAAACGUCUUUCUGCUGAUGAAUCUUUUCAGAGAUCGAAAGAGUUCAAUAGUGCGCUAGAGGCAUUGGUAUCAAAUAAAGAUGCUCUCAUGGAAAUUCUUCAAGAAUCCAACAAUGUUGCCGCGAGUGAUCUGUCCGGCCUCGGUUGUCCUCCAUCCUCUGGCGUAAACCGGAUCACGCUGUUGAAACCAUCCAGAAGAAGUAAGUUUAUUGACGCAGAUAUUGUCUAUCCACCAGAAGAUGACACUGAACGGUGCUUUCACUCACCAAAAGAAGCAAAGCAUUCUCCAAGGAAGCCUCACAGUAACUUUUCUAGUGAAGCUCCCAAAGUAGAAACUGGCUCUUUCAGACAAAAGUUGUCUAGGUCAAGCUACAGGGAGAGCAUCGAUAAGCGUGUUUCUCCCACUCGGAUUGUUGUCUUGAAACCAUGCCUCGAUAAAAAUCUGAACAUGGAAGGGGCAUUUCCAAUAACCAAUGACAUGUUCUGCUCCAGUUACAGAAGGACUGAAGCAUGCCUAGAUGAUGGCAUUCAAAGGCAGCAUGCAGAAGAAUCCAUGCCUCAGAUCUCCACAGCAUAUCCCGAUGCACGGCGCCAAAGAGCACAGGGGUCCAGAGAAAUUGCCCGAGAGGUUUCGACACAAAUGAAGACAGCUGCUGUCAGGGGAGUUGCAAAUGGAAAACAGAAACUCAGUCCAGAUAUUGGGACGUCCAACCGGGAUGAGCAGGUGUCUUUGUUGACAUCCAUGGCUAAGCUAAAAAGUUCGGCAGCAUUGCAAAGAUCUUCUGGUGUACGUGAUGCUCCGGAUGGUUCUUGCGCAGGGACUUCACCGACACAUUCAGCUAAGAGAUCAAUUAGGAAGGAAGCAAGGAGACGCCUAGCUGACAGAUGGAAGACGACCCAGCAACAUCAACAUCCAUCACCAGAUGGUAAUGCUACAUUCAGCACACUUGGGGACAUGCUUGCUCUCUCUGACAAAGAGACCUCAAAGUUUACUUCAGGGGCAGCAGCUAGCCGGCCAUGGCCAGAGGGUGAGUCACUUAGGGAUGUGAUGCCAGGAUCAUGUGGUUAUCCUCUUGGUAUCAGCAGCAAUGAUGGCUGGAAAGAUGAGAACAUAUGUGGCUUAACAAGGUUGGAGUCUGUUUCUACAUCAUCCAUCAACCGAGGCAGUCCAAAAUCGAGCAGCAGAAAAGCAAGUAACAGGCAUGGUGAAUAUUCUAUGGCAGAGAACGUCAUCGGAUCAGGGCCUUAUAAUUCUGAAGAUAUGCAUCAGGACAGACCAAGGAGAUUGUUAGUCAGAAGUUCGACGCAUCGCUCUGAUGAAAGCGAUGUGCAGUCUCUGGAUGAAGUGCAAAGUGUGGUGACCGAGCGCGAGAUCCAUGUGAAUUUUGAAGAACCAACUUACACCGGUGCAGUGCCAGAGCUAUCUGAAACUGGAGGAAGACUUGUGCACGGUGGAAAUUCUGACCAUUUGGAUAGCAGCCAUGCAGUUCCAGAAUGGCAGGGGGAGGCUCAGGCUUCUGCACAGAACAUGAUGCUGGACCAAGAGCACGCAUUCGCAACAGAUGACCAUUUUAUUGUACCUAGUCCUAGAUAUUCAGCGUCUCAGAUUGAGGGGAAUGGGCAAGAUCGAUGUGAUGACAAUGAAGCUCCAUCCGAUCAUCUGACAGAAUUAGUAUCCGUCGUGAGCUCCAACGAAGACGAACAGCCGAGUCCGGUGUCUGUCCUCGGAUCGUCGGUGGACGCCGAGGACUGUUGUUCAGGAGGUUUUGAGAAAAUAAGUGCAGACCUUCAAGGCAAGUGCAGAAACAUGCACACUGCCAAACCACCUUCCUGUCACUGUCCAUAUCACUCACUUGACUUGCUUUUGUCUGUUACAGGGCUGAGGAUGCAACUUCGGCUGCUCAAGAUGGAGGCGACGGGCAACGCAGAUGACGAAACCGACCUCGCUUUGUUCAGCGACGACGAUGAAACCGCCGCGAGCUGCGAGCUAGCCAACGAAGGCGUGCCGACAGUGUCCCGUACUUUCCGGGAUGAAGACGAGAGGGACUUCUCUUAUGUGGCUGACAUGCUCACAUUUCUAGCCAACCAGAGUUCUGAGCAUGAUCUCCUGCUCGGCGUGCGCUAUCUGUCACCGGGGUCUCCGGCGCGCGGCGACGCGUACGAUGAGCUCGAGAGGAAGUACGGCGAGCUCGUCCCGUGGGCGCGGCCCGAGAGGCGGCUCCUCUUCGACCUGGCGAAGGAUGUGCUCGUCGACGUGGUCGCCUGUCUGACGCAGUGCGGCGGUCAGCAGGGGCUGGCGGGGAAGUGUCGGCAGGGCAUGGAAUGGGACAGGGAGAGGGUCGUGGAGGAGGUGUGGGAGAGGGUGCGCCGGCAGCGGCGCGAGACGGAGUGCUUCCAGGAGGAGAAGCUGAUGGGCGUGGGGUGGCUGGACUGCGAGGAUGUCACUGAUGAGAUCGUGGAAGACAUUGGGAGCAUGCUGGGUGAGGAUCUCCUGGAGGAAGCCAUAGCUGAUCUCUAUCUGCUGGACCUUUUUGGUUAA